GACGGAGGGUGCUAGCGUUGUUCGGAAUUACUGGGCGUAAAGGGCGCGUAGGCGGCCUGUUAAGUCGGGUGUGAAAGCCCGGGGCUCAACCCCGGAACGGCUCCCGAGACUGGUGGGCUUGAGACCGAGAGAGGAGAGUGGAAUGCCCAGUGUAGAGGUGAAAUUCGUAGAGAUUGGGUGGAACACCAGUGGCGAAAGCGGCUCUCUGGCUCGGUGCUGACGAUGAGGCGCGAAAGAGUGGGGAGCAAACAGG
RNAcentral lists this ribosomal RNA (253 nucleotides) under uncultured bacterium. RNAcentral's name for it is "partial 16S ribosomal RNA". It matches the Rfam family "Bacterial small subunit ribosomal RNA", at positions 524 to 776 of the family's 1533-position model. The record is from RNAcentral.